RNAcentral lists this long non-coding RNA (1083 nucleotides) under Papio anubis (olive baboon). Its description in RNAcentral is "lncRNA (ENSPANG00000041211.1)". The record is from RNAcentral. Lineage: Eukaryota; Metazoa; Chordata; Mammalia; Primates; Cercopithecidae.
AAACAGCAGACCAGGGACGGAGUGUGGGCCUGUAGUGAAAUACUAUAAUUUUAUGUUGCCUUGGCUUCCAUUUUGAAUUAAGUUGGACUUUCUCAUACCAGAGGCAAGACUUAGUCACCCUUGACAGUUUCCAGUUCUCUGCCUCCUCCCAGUGCCUCAAUGUGGUCGAUGCAGGUAUCUGCUUUAUACAACUGCCUCCCGGUGACCACCUCCCUAUGGGACAGCUGGAUGCAACCUACCUGACCUGCCCCACUGACCCUACACCCUGCAUGGACUGUGCAGACAUGCUGCAGCAACCUACUGUCAGUCAUAGCGUGACUCAUGGAACUUGGACCUGCUUGCUGUAAACCUGCCAAUUUGAAUCCCCUGGGGGAAAACUUGCUUGAGUAACCCCCUAAAUCCUAAUAUAGUCUCUGGCCCACAGGCCUCUCUCUAUUUUGUUUUCCACUGGCUGGUUGAGUCUGCAUGUCCCAGAUGGCUCCCCACUCCAGUUGGCCUGUGAGGCUUGCUGCCUCUUCUCUCCAAGAUCUGUCCACACCAUCCAGGGGAUACGAUGCAGGGCAGAAGGAAUUGAAGAUGGAAAAGGACAUUCACACUCUAGCAAGCCUCUGGCAGAACUAGGCUGUGUCCAACUCUGUGUCCUCUAUCCUGGGCUCUAGAAUAAGCGUGCUUGGCCUCCCAAAGGUGUUGAGGGUCACCAACAAGAGACCCCAGGACCUAUCUUAUCACCAAACUGGGUCAUCAGGGGAAGACAGAAGAGGACUGAGAAAAAGUCAUCUGUCAUAAAAGAGUAGAAGUGUCCACUUCCAUAUACAGUAUAGUCCUGUUACUUAACUCUAACUCCUCUAACUACUGAGAGAACAAGUCUCUCCCAGGCCAGCUUGAUUGGCAGAACCUAAGUUCUCAGAGUUUUCCUUGACUUUUUACAAGACCUGACAUCUUGACAAAUGGAAUCAAGAUGGAGAGGGAAAGGCCUGAGAUGUUUGUACAGGUUCACUUUGGUGUCCAGCAGGGAAGAGUAAUCCCCUUAAAGUUCCUACUUAAUUAACUCCAAGAGAUGUCUGUCCUGCCCCUGAGUUUAGC